CAGAAAAGAUACUUAAAUAAGCAUGUGUUGAUUGAGGCAUAAACCAACAGUACGACACACUGGGAAGAGUUCAGAUCUGAGCUUAAAAUACAAUCACACCGUUUUCAAGCUGCAUGAUGAGCGAGACAAGGUCAUCCUUGAAGAGAUGGCUAAGUCACGGCUAGUUACUGCUUCUGGGCAGAGUGGUAGUGAGUAACAAGUGAGAUAAAUGUAUAUAAUGCACCUAAGACGCAGGGUGCCCUCCCCAAUGUCAGGUCCCUGGCCCAGCCACCCUCCCUGAAACUGACAACCUAGAAUGACCUGGGAGGGGACAGGCAAGGCUGGAAAACACACUUCACCUUCCAAAGCUUGAUGGUCCUGCUCCAGGAGAUGAGGUGCUCUUUGACUCUAAGGAGGGGGGGGAUGGGAAUUGAGGUCUGGGAGAUGACCAGAUGCCAGCAAGUUCAAGAUCAGAGUUAUUUCAAGAACCAUUUGCAUCCCAAAGGUUGGACCUCGGCGGGGAGCUGGAGAUGAUCCACCAGUUUGUCACAUUGGCAGGAAGGGGAAUGUCAAGCCCUAAAAAGUCACUGGCCCAGACAGCCCUAGUUUCAGAGCCCAGUGGUGAGGGCACUGGCCUGUCCUGACCACCUGGCCUUCCCCCUGACUGGGGGACAACGGGGACCGGCCCAGGCCGGAGGCUCACAGGCCACUUCCGUGUUGACAAAUGUCUUAAACUGGCCAUGAGGACAGCCACCCUGUGGCACCCAAUGAGCCCAUGCUGUUUAUAACAUGAGGUACGACUCUGGACAAAAAUAAAGCCCUGAUCUGCCUGGAGAACAGGUGUGUGUCUGCCUUUCCUUUGAAGCACCAUUGAUGACCCAACAAGAAGGCGCUGCAUAGCCUUUAAGGAGCAGCUUCUAGACACUUUCUAAUCCGAGACAAAGGAGCACCUCUGCUGCUCCCAGGGGGCUGCUGCAUCUCCCACCCCCCUGCUCCAUCAGAGGUGAGAGGUAAUACACCCCCCCAUCUCUACCAUAUCCCCCACCCCCGCCCAGAACUUGCCAGUGAUUCAUCUUCGUUUCCUGGGAUGAAACAACCUUGCAGGUGCCCUGAACACUAACUGAGGAAGCUGGUGUCCCUAAGGUGCCACCCUGCCCUGCCCCUCCAUCCAGGAGCCAGCAGUACCUGGAGGAAAACGGCGGAAGAGCAGAGAGUGGAUGGUAAAAGUUUACAAAGCUCGGGAGGGACCAGGGCUGGGCUGACCCAAGCAAAACGAAAGGACUGGUGGGACUGGCGGGGCCCACCUCCAUCCGAGGCCCCUCCUCUGGGCGGAACUCCCCCUCUGCCGUCUGGCCGCUGGAUCUGCAAUCCUCUGGGGUUCUGAUUGGUGCGCAUUCAUUCAGAGAUGUUCAGCCCCUCUGGCAAACACCCUGCCCUUUGCAUCCAUAUUUUACAGGUGAGCGCAGAGCGCUAAGGCUUUGGUGGAAGGUCAUUUCCAAGGUCAAAGGGCUAGCUCGUGGCAGAGCUGGAAAACAGGACUGUUGGGCCUGAAGCCACCCUUUUACCCCUGUACCUCCCUUUCUAAACCCACCUGGGAGGCACUUUGCAGUAGAGUCUACAGAGUGUGGAGAAGAGUGGCGAGAGGAUUGUGAACUUGCCUGAGGGCCAGGAAAUCCAAAAAUCCCCUUGCAGUGGCGUUAGAGGCCGGGGCGGGGGGGGGGGGGGGGGGGGGGGGGGGGGCCGGCGGAGGGGCUGGGGAGUAGUCUGGCCCCAUCACCAUGACAACAUGCAACCCGACUUCCUCUCUUGGUGUGAUCGUCACUCUGCUCACCCUCUAACAAGGACCCCGGCGAGGAAAGCCAUCCCUAUUCUAACUGGUGAAACACUGAGGCUCAGAGACGUGGCGAGGUGUGGGGAAGGGCCAACAGACGAUGGGAACGGUCUUUGCAGGACAACUGCGCAUUUAUGAAACCGUCACGGCAGAAGAACAUCCGUGCCAGAUCCCAGGCCCAUGGCUGGGCCCAGCUGCCUCCCAUUCUCUCCUGAGGCCAGGCCUGCUGCGAGGUUUCAUUACAUUGCGUGUUUUUAUCAUUUGAUAUCUGUAGCCAGAUGCCUGUAGGCAAUAAAUGCCCUUCUCCAUCAGUUGAAGCAAAAAAAUGUACCUGCCAUGGCUGUAUUUGCUUCACUGGGCCGCUGACUUAUUUUAAGAACUAAAUCUUGCCUGUUACUAUAUUUUUCACUCUGGGGUGCGUGUGCUCCAGGACCGACAGUGAUAACUUACACCCAAGGCAGAGCUUCCUCUCGCGCGAGAACGUAGCGCCACCUAGUGUCCACUUGCUCAACCGCAACCAAAAGAAAGAACAGCGGUAACCUUGACAAAGUUUGCGCUCUCAAGAACUUCUUAACACGCAUUUUUCUCUUUUCACAUAACGGAGCUUGCCUGCCGCAGUAUAUUCGUCUUAUUUUUAAGAUAAAUAAGUUAAGACACGAGGCUCCAGCAAGAAAGCUGAGUAAGUUUUCCACUUGCCAACCUGGGGGGGGGGGGUCAUACUUUCCAACUUGGGUGGCUGUCAUUUAUAAACGAUGAGCUCAUGAGAGACGAGGGCUCAUGCAACGCCCAGGUGCCCAGAACACCACCGCGCAGAAAGGCAGCCCUCCCGCGGGACCUGAUGCAAUCGUCUUGGCUUUAUUUAGCCUUUCGUACCAGCGUCUCUACGCUCUCCGGGCAGGCUUAUCCUCACAGCACCCUUAAGGGGUAUAGAUCUCAGUGUGGGGGGUUUCCGUUGUGCUAACAAAACCAGUAUCCAUGAGAAUGCAGGUUCAAUCCCCGCCCUCCCUCCGUGGGUUAAGGAUCCAGCUCCUGCGUGAGCUGUGGUGUAGGUCGCAGGGGGGAAUCUCAGGGUUAUUAGUAUUUUGUUUUAGGGCCGCACCUGCGGCAUAGGGAGGUUCCCAGGCUAGGGGUCAGAUCAGAACUGCAGCUGCCUGCCUACACCCCACCACAGCAACGUGGGAUCCUUAACCCACUGAGUGGGGCCAGGGAUCAAACCCACAUCCUUGCAGAUACUCGUCGGGUUCGUUACCCCACGAGCCACAAUGGGAACUCCAUCAGCGUUAUUAGAUGUAGGUUCCCAAAAGAACUCACUUCCUCUGCAGCAGUGAGGGUAGAUGUGGGACUGCCCACAGCCCCCUAAACUCAGUGCCUCUUUGCCAAUGCAAGAACCAAAUCCAUCACCCCAACACCAUCCAACAGUUCUGACCUUCAAGCUCCUCUAAUUCUUUUCAGAUAUCCAGAGUAGGGUCUCUUCAUCUUGGUACCACUGGGUUGAAUGGGCUGGGGGUGCUCCGUCCUGUACACUAGGAAUGGUCAGCAGCGAACCUGGUCUCUACCCACUAGGUGGCAGUAGCGUCCCUCUCCCCAUGAAGAUGAUCGGAAUAGCUCCAGGCCCCGCCAAAUGUUCCCUGGGGGUCCAAACCCAGCACUGGUUGAGACCCACUCUUCUAGAAGGCAGGUACACACAAAUGUAAAAAUAAAAAUACUACUAAAACACUUUCAUUACAGAUAAAAUGAGGCUCAGAGAUGUUAGGUAACAGGCCAAGGUCACAUAGCCGGUAGUGGCAAAGUCACCAUUUAAAACCAGGCUCCUGUGACUCCAAAACCUAGCUCUUCACCACCUCCAGAUCCUGGGGCCAUAGAUCACCAACGUUUCUGGAACAGUCUUGCUUCUUCACAGCCCUUCUAGAAUAUGCUAGCGCUAUUCAAAUAAUACAUCCAGAUUUCGGUUUAAAGACAUAAACACUGUAGCUCCUCUCUGUAAGAGGAUCAAUACAGGGAGCGCCCCUCGUGGCUCAGUGGUAAUGAACCCGACUAGUAUCCAUGAGGACGCAGGUUCGACUCCUGGCCUCGGUCAUGGGUUAAGGAUCCAGCAGACACAGCUUGGACCUGGUGCUGUGGCUGUGACAUAGGCUGGCAGCUGCAGCUCCAAUUCAGCCUCUAGCCUGGGAACUUCCAUAUGCCACCAAAACGGCCCUAAAAAGACUGAAUUUAAAAAAAAAGAAAAAGAAAGAAAAAAAAAAUCAAUCCAAAGUGUUAGGGCAGAGAUUUUGCUCCAGGGAAGAGCCUGGGUCUGAGUUCAGUGGCCAAUAAUUGACUGUAUGGCCUUUAUUUGGGGUCAGUUAUUUAAGCUCUCAAAGAUAGUUUAUUCAUCUGCAAGAUAAAGAGAAUGAGUUAGAUGAGGUUUUCAACCCCACCACACACUAAAAUCACAGGGAGAGCACAAAGAAAGGAGUGCCCGGGCCACAACCUGAACCAAUUCAUCCAGACUCUCUGGGUCCUGGGAAGUAACAUUUUUAAGUCCCCAGGUAGCCCAAUGCGCAGCCAGAACUGAGGCUCAUGGCACUAAGACCCCCCCGUUCUGUGUUUCUAUCGUCAGACCCAACUCCCCAUAGACUUGGAGAUCGUCUUUCCUCCCUCCCACGACACACAAAGUUGUUUCGGGAGCGGUCACUUUCUCUCUCUCCCACGACCAUCCCAAAAGUCUUGAACGAUUUCCUGGGACCCCCCCGCCCCCGACAUGUCAACCACCAUCCAGUCCCUGGACUAACCAUUUCCAGCAUCUCUGUCUACCAACCCAAAGUCUGGAAACCCCACCACUGUCAAUGGCAGCAGGAGGUUGGAAACAUCUAGAAAAAGCUGCAAAGAGCAGGCAACAUGACAGAAGACAGCUGUGUCCACUGAAAGACUAUCCCUUUACCGGCCUCACUGAGUGUU
Molecule: long non-coding RNA, 4747 nt
Filed under: Sus scrofa (pig)
Lineage: Eukaryota; Metazoa; Chordata; Mammalia; Artiodactyla; Suidae
Description: lncRNA (ENSSSCG00060003291.1)
Source: RNAcentral